Molecule: ribosomal RNA, 253 nt
Filed under: uncultured bacterium
Lineage: Bacteria
Description: partial 16S ribosomal RNA
Rfam family: Bacterial small subunit ribosomal RNA
Source: RNAcentral
UACGUAGGGAGCAAGCGUUGUCCGGAAUCAUUGGGCGUAAAGCGCGCGUAGGUGGCUCUAUAAGUCCGUUGUGAAAGUCAAAGGCUCAACCUUUGAAAGCCGAUGGAUACUGUGGAGCUAGAGUACGGAAGAGGCGAGUGGAAUUCCUGGUGUAGCGGUGAAAUGCGCAGAUAUCAGGAAGAACACCUAUGGCGAAGGCAGCACUCUGGGACGGUACUGACGCUGAGACGCGAAAGCGUGGGGAGCGAACAGG